GUAGCAUAAGUUAGGAACAUGAUUCUUCUGUUUGGUAAACUUAUAGAAGCCUUAGUAUCCCAGCAAUGGGAGGCCACGCGACUAAAAAUAAUGUGGCCGUUUACUAGUUGACCCUAGGUCAGCAACACAGCCAGACUGUUUGGGAAUUCUCGUAUGUAAUCUUUUACAGCAUGAGCAAUCCACAGCGAAUACCUCGUAAGCAUUUAAAAUGCCUAUAGGGAACGUUCACAGACUAAGUGGUUGUGGGUAG
RNAcentral lists this unclassified non-coding RNA (250 nucleotides) under plant metagenome. RNAcentral's name for it is "partial contains small subunit ribosomal RNA, internal transcribed spacer 1, and 5.8S ribosomal RNA". The record is from RNAcentral.